AGAUCACCCAGCCCGUGGGGAUCAGCCACGUCGGGAGACCUCCAAGCUUUCAUGACAAGGCAUUUCCAAAGCCGACACAGGUUUACCAUAUGCCGACGAGAGGGGUCCCAGACCAACAACAGGUUAGGUCCCAGACCAUACUGUGCCAGGAAGCCCAGGGGUCCUCCCCGACACCACCCCGGCGAAUCCACAUGUCUCUCGGCAUCAAGGCUCCCCUGAUAAGCUAGUUACUCAGCCAGGGGUGUCCCAUUCCACCCAUGUGGUCGUACUUGUCUUAUGUUUGGAUGAAAUUCCAAGGAA
RNAcentral lists this unclassified non-coding RNA (300 nucleotides) under Hevea brasiliensis (rubber tree). The record is from RNAcentral. Lineage: Eukaryota; Viridiplantae; Streptophyta; Magnoliopsida; Malpighiales; Euphorbiaceae.